Molecule: ribosomal RNA, 484 nt
Filed under: Kocuria sp. YIM C620
Lineage: Bacteria; Bacillati; Actinomycetota; Actinomycetes; Micrococcales; Micrococcaceae
Description: bacterial SSU rRNA
Rfam family: Bacterial small subunit ribosomal RNA
Source: RNAcentral
CGCUGGCGGCGUGCUUAACACAUGCAAGUCGAACGAUGAUGCCCAGCUUGCUGGGCGGAUUAGUGGCGAACGGGUGAGUAAUACGUGAGUAACCUGCCCUUGACUCUGGGAUAAGCCUGGGAAACUGGGUCUAAUACUGGAUACUACCUCGCACCGCAUGGUGGGUGGUGGAAAGGGUUUUACUGGUUUUGGAUGGGCUCACGGCCUAUCAGCUUGUUGGUGGGGUAAUGGCUCACCAAGGCGACGACGGGUAGCCGGCCUGAGAGGGUGACCGGCCACACUGGGACUGAGACACGGCCCAGACUCCUACGGGAGGCAGCAGUGGGGAAUAUUGCACAAUGGGCGGAAGCCUGAUGCAGCGACGCCGCGUGAGGGAUGACGGCCUUCGGGUUGUAAACCUCUUUCAGUAGGGAAGAAGCGAGAGUGACGGUACCUGCAGAAGAAGCGCCGGCUAACUACGUGCCAGCAGCCGCGGUAAUACGUA